RNAcentral lists this ribosomal RNA (1157 nucleotides) under Sporobolomyces aff. pararoseus EE-0118.3. Its description in RNAcentral is "eukaryotic LSU rRNA". The stretch from base 521 to 1157 matches the Rfam family "Eukaryotic large subunit ribosomal RNA", at positions 1 to 654 of the family's 3401-position model. Lineage: Eukaryota; Fungi; Basidiomycota; Microbotryomycetes; Sporidiobolales; Sporidiobolaceae. The record is from RNAcentral.
AGGACAUUAUUGAAAACAAGGGUGUCCAAUUUAACUUGGAACCCGACCUUCUCAAUUCUAACUUUGUGCAUCUGUAUAAUGGCGAGCAGUCUUCGGAUUGUGAGCCUUCACUUAUAAACACUAGUCUAUGAAUGUAAUUUUUUUAUAACAAAUAAAAACUUUCAACAACGGAUCUCUUGGCUCUCGCAUCGAUGAAGAACGCAGCGAAAUGCGAUACGUAAUGUGAAUUGCAGAAUUCAGUGAAUCAUCGAAUCUUUGAACGCAUCUUGCGCUCUCUGGUAUUCCGGAGAGCAUGUCUGUUUGAGUGUCAUGAAUUCUUCAACCCAAUCUUUUCUUGUAAUUGAUUGGUGUUUGGAUUCUGAGCGUUGCUGGCUUCGGCCUAGCUCGUUCGUAAUACAUUAGCAUCCCUAAUACAAGUUUGGAUUGACUUGGCGUAAUAGACUAUUCGCUAAGGAUUCGAUGGAAACAUCGAGCCAACUUCAUUAAGGAAGCUCCUAAUUUAAAAGUCUACCUUUUGAUUAGAUCUCAAAUCAGGCAGGAUUACCCGCUGAACUUAAGCAUAUCAAUAAGCGGAGGAAAAGAAACUAACAAGGAUUCCCCUAGUAGCGGCGAGCGAAGCGGGAAAAGCUCAAAUUUGUAAUCUGGCGUCUUCGACGUCCGAGUUGUAAUCUCGAGAAGUGUUUUCCGGUGAUAGACGCAUACAAGUCUCUUGGAACAGAGCGUCAUAGUGGUGAGAACCCAGACACGAUGCGGAUGCCUAUUACUUUGCGAUACACUUUCGAAGAGUCGAGUUGUUUGGGAAUGCAGCUCAAAUUGGGUGGUAAAUUCCAUCUAAAGCUAAAUAUUGGCGAGAGACCGAUAGCGAACAAGUACCGUGAGGGAAAGAUGAAAAGCACUUUGGAAAGAGAGUUAACAGUACGUGAAAUUGUUGGAAGGGAAACACAUGCAGUGAUACUUGCUAUUCGGGGCAACUCGAUUGGCAGGCCCGCAUCAGUUUUUCGGGGCGGAAAAGCAUGGAUUGAAGGUAGCAGUCUCGGCUGUGUUAUAGCUUUCCAUUGGAUUCGCCCUGGGGGACUGAGGAACGCAGCGUGCUUUUUGCAUGAGCUUCGGCUUAUCCACGCUUAGGAUGCGGGUUUAUGGCUGUAUAUGUUGAGGUU